CACGUAGGGUGCGAGCGUUGUCCGGAAUUAUUGGGCGUAAAGAGCUCGUAGGCGGUCCGUCACGUCGGGAGUGAAAACUUGGGGCUUAACCCCAAGCCUGCUUCCGAUACGGGCGGACUAGAGGUAGGCAGGGGAGAACGGAAUUCCUGGUGUAGCGGUGAAAUGCGCAGAUAUCAGGAGGAACACCGGUGGCGUAGGCGGUUCUCUGGGCCUUACCUGACGCUGAGGAGCGAAAGCGUGGGGAGCAAACAGG
Molecule: ribosomal RNA, 253 nt
Filed under: uncultured bacterium
Lineage: Bacteria
Description: partial 16S ribosomal RNA
Rfam family: Bacterial small subunit ribosomal RNA
Source: RNAcentral